GCAAUGGACGAAAGUCUGACCGAGCGACGCCGCGUGAGGGAAGAAGGUUUUUGGAUUGUAAACCUCUGUCCUUGGUAAAGAAGCAAGACGGUAGCCAAGGAGGAAGCCACGGCUAACUACGUGCCAGCAGCCGCGGUAAUACGUAGGGGGCUAGCGUUAUCCGGAAUUACUGGGCGUAAAGGGUGCGUAGGUGGUUUCUUAAGUCAGAGGUGAAAGGCUACGGCUCAACCGGGGAGGGUCAUUGGAAACUGGGAGACUUGAGUGCAGAAGAGGAGAGUGGAAUUCCAUGUGUAGCGGUGAAAUGCGUAGAUAUAUGGAAGAACACCAGUGGCGAAAGCGGCUCUCUGGUCUGUAACUGACGCUGAGGUUCGAAAGCGUGGGUAGCA
RNAcentral lists this ribosomal RNA (386 nucleotides) under uncultured bacterium. RNAcentral describes it as "bacterial SSU rRNA". It matches the Rfam family "Bacterial small subunit ribosomal RNA", at positions 368 to 770 of the family's 1533-position model. The record is from RNAcentral.